RNAcentral lists this long non-coding RNA (1245 nucleotides) under Homo sapiens (human). RNAcentral describes it as "non-protein coding lnc-NFKBID-1:1". The record is from RNAcentral. Lineage: Eukaryota; Metazoa; Chordata; Mammalia; Primates; Hominidae.
GUUUAGUAGAGAUUGGGGUUCCAGCAUGUUGGCCAGGCUUGUCUCGAACUCCUGACCUCAAGUGAUCCACCCACCUCGGCCUACCAAAGUGCUGGGAUUACAGGUGUGAGCUACCGCGCCCAGCCCCUCUUAAUUGUUUCUGACUGAAAUCUACGCCGGGUUCAGCUGGCUGUUCUGCUGUCUCCCUUUGGUUCCUCAUGUGGCUGCAAUCAACCUGAGGCCCAACUGGCCUGGAAAUCCACAACACCUUCACUCACAUGCCUGAUAGCUCAGCUGAGAUAAUGGAGCUUCCAGGAGUGGCCCAAGAGUCUUUCCAUGCAGUCCAGGAGGGCAGGUGGAUCUCUUAACUUCAGGUGGUGGCUCAGUGGUUCCAAGAAAGAGAGAUCCAAGGAGACAAGUCCCUGCUUGUAUCAUACUUGUUGACAUGUCAUUGAUCCCAGAUCAGUGUGGGAGGCAUUACACAAGGGUCUCAAUAUUGGGAGACAGAGUUAUCUGGGGACUGGGCGAGGUGCCUCACUCCUGUAAUCCCAGCAAUUUGGGAGGCCAAGGAGGGCGGAUUACUUGAGGUCAGGAGUUGGAGACCAGCCUGGUCAACAUGGUGAAACCCUGUCUCUACUAAAAAUACAAAAAUUAGCUGGGCAUGGUGGCGGGUGCCUGUAGUCCCAGCUACUUUGGAGGCUGAGGCAGGAGGAUCACUUGAGGCCAGGAGUUUGAUGCCGCAGUGAACCAUGAUUGCAGCACUGCACUCCAGCGUGGGAGGCAGCAAGACACUGUCUCUAAAGUCGGUUCCCAUUCCCAGGAGGUCAUCAUAUUGAUGCCAAACUUAGUGUGGACACCCAAGUGGCACAGUGCACUCCAGUCCAGAAGCCCUGGGCUCAAGCAAUCCUCUUGCCUCAGCCUCCCGGGUAGCUGGGACUAGAGCAGCGUGCCACUGUGCCCAGCCACGUGGAAUUUUGAAGCGCACAAUCGGAGCACCAUAUUGGACAACCUUGGAGUAUUAAACAGGACUCUCGAAGAUUGGGGUGGGCGCUGCAUGUGAUUGUGUGUGAGGCUGAACAGAUGGCAGGGGAAACUCGCUGGAGCCCAGCCUCCUUGGGGUCCACACUGGUACCCAACUGACAGUUGGAAGGCGCGGCCAGUUCAGCACCGCGGACAGCUCCAGGACAGGCGCCUAUCCCUGGCCUCUGAGCCCCGCCCCCGGCGCGCCAGCCCUUCCCGCAGGACCCGCCCAGAUUUAAAGCUCCG